AGAGCCCUCCAGGCUCCUAAGGGCGAAGCCGACACCUCAUCCCUUUGGAACUUGAAGUUCUCAGUCCAAGACCUCCGUGGAGAGUGAAAGACUCAAUGCCUCCUGACCGAGGCUUCAGGCCUGCCCCGGCAGCUAGGAAACCUGAAACUGCCAUUGAGCAGAAGGAAAACAUCCCUUUCCAGAACCUUUCUCGUUUUUCUAAAAAUCUGCACUUUUGGAAGUGAUCCCCCAAAGAGACCUCCAGACUCUACCAUGAGUGUCUCCAGCUGAACUCAUCGUGUCUAAUCCUCACCCUAGCUUAUCCUGUUCAAAUCAUUUCCAUCUUUUUCUGGAUGAACCUGGGCGGAUGUCAGACCAGAGAAGAGCACAGAAUGUACCAGAGAGAUGCGGUGAUGGGAGCCAUAUACACAAAGAUGAAGGACUGGCUACAGCUUUCACAGACCUUACAACCUACUGAGAGAGCAAAGACACAGUGAAGAGAUCAUUCAGAAUACAGUCCAACUCCAAGAUCAUUGGGAGAGCUUAUUUGAAGACCAGAAAGGUUACUGAACAUGGUGACUCUCUUCAAAGCCAGACCUUUGUCCUUGAAUUUAGGGCUUCAAAAAACAAUAGUAGGGCCGGGCGCAGUGGCUCAUGCCUGUAAUCCCAACACUUUGGGAGGCCAAGGUGGGCAGAUCACCUGAGGUCAGGAGUUCGAGACCGGCCUGGCCAAUAUGGUGAAACCCUGUCUCUACCAAAAAUACAAAAAAAAAAAAAAAUUACCUGGGCUUGGUGGGGGGUGCCUGUAAUCCCAGGUACUCAGGAGGCUGAGACAGGAGAAUUGCUUGAACCCGAGAGGCAGAGGCGGCAGUGAGCCGAGAACGCGCCAUUGCACUCUAGCCCGGGCGACAAGAGUGAAACUCCAUCUCAAAAACAAAAACAAAAAGAAAAACAAACAAACAAACAAACAAAAAAACAGUAGAAAACCUAAUGAGAAACCAUGGCACAGGAAAACAGAAUAGCAGAACGGUCAGAGGAAGCAUAGCACUAGAAGUUUACCUAUUUGAAAGAUUUAUGAGACACUUAAGACAGAAGAGCUCUGCCUGUCUGGUUAAAAUGGUGGGACAGACAAGAUUUAUUUGAGCUCAGCAGCACUUGAAGUCCACUGGAGAGGUGUAGAGCAGCUAGCCCAUGUUAUGGUUGCAAUGGAAAAAAGUCAAUAGGGUGAGAAUCAAGAAUGGAUCCAUCUUGUGGAUGAUGACAUCAUUCAGCAACAAGGUACAAUUGCUACAAUAGAGGAUCAUAUUUCCAAGCCAGGUCCAAAGAGGCAUCAGGGCUGUCAAGCUUAGGUAUAAAUGUUGACAGAAUCUUCCUUUGGAUUACCUAAGGCUCUGAAUUUCUGGGAAGA
Molecule: long non-coding RNA, 1387 nt
Filed under: Homo sapiens (human)
Lineage: Eukaryota; Metazoa; Chordata; Mammalia; Primates; Hominidae
Description: HSALNT0326340
Source: RNAcentral